UAGCUCAGCGGCAGAGCACUUGCCUUGCAUGCAUGAGGCCCUGGGUUUGAUACCCUG
This 57-nucleotide transfer RNA is filed under the name Heterocephalus glaber (naked mole-rat). It matches the Rfam family "tRNA", at positions 8 to 63 of the family's 71-position model. From Rfam's summary of the family: Transfer RNA (tRNA) molecules are approximately 80 nucleotides in length. Their secondary structure includes four short double-helical elements and three loops (D, anti-codon, and T loops). Lineage: Eukaryota; Metazoa; Chordata; Mammalia; Rodentia; Bathyergidae. The record is from Rfam by way of RNAcentral.